AGUGAACGCUGGCGGUAGGCCUAACACAUGCAAGUCGAACGGCAGCACAGUAAGAGCUUGCUCUUACGGGUGGCGAGUGGCGGACGGGUGAGGAAUACAUCGGAAUCUACUUUUUCGUGGGGGAUAACGUAGGGAAACUUACGCUAAUACCGCAUACGACCUACGGGUGAAAGCAGGGGAUCUUCGGACCUUGCGCGAUUGAAUGAGCCGAUGUCGGAUUAGCUAGUUGGCGGGGUAACGGCCCACCAAGGCGACGAUCCGUAGCUGGUCUGAGAGAAUGAUCAGCCACACUGGAACUGAGACACGAGCCAGACUCCUACGGGAGGCAGCAGUAGGGAAUAUUGGACAAUGGGCGCAAGCCUGAUCCAGCCAUACCGCGUGGGUGAAGAAGGCCUUCGGGUUGUAAAGCCCUUUUGUUGGGAAAGAAAAGCAGCAGGUUAAUACCCCGCUGUUCUGACGGUACCCAAAGAAUAAGCACCGGCUAACUUCGUG
RNAcentral lists this ribosomal RNA (492 nucleotides) under uncultured bacterium. RNAcentral describes it as "partial 16S ribosomal RNA". It matches the Rfam family "Bacterial small subunit ribosomal RNA", at positions 29 to 507 of the family's 1533-position model. The record is from RNAcentral.